Molecule: RNA transcript, 3208 nt
Organism: Cryptomeria japonica (Japanese cedar)
Lineage: Eukaryota; Viridiplantae; Streptophyta; Pinopsida; Cupressales; Cupressaceae
Gene name: serine/arginine-rich splicing factor SC35
Exons: 9
Source: RefSeq, a predicted model, not a curated record
AAACCCUAGAAAUUAGGUCCUUUAUAAAAUGUAAUAUUAGCUUUUCAAGUGGUCUCAAUUCCGUUCUGUACAAACAUUUUUUCGUUUCGCAGAAAUAAUUUUGUCACAGUUUCAGAGCUCUCAGGAACCUAAAAAUGUCUCACUUCGGGAGAUCGGGGCCUCCAGAUAUCAGAGACACGUAUUCGCUUCUGGUUCUUAACAUAACAUUUCGCACUAGCGCAGAUGAUCUAUUUCCCCUCUUUGAUCGAUAUGGGAAGGUUGUGGAUAUAUUUAUUCCGAGAGACAGGAGAACUGGUGAGUCCCGGGGAUUCGCAUUUGUUCGGUACAAAUAUGCAGAUGAGGCACAGAAGGCAGUUGAACGUCUUGAUGGUAGAAAUGUUGAUGGAAGAGAUAUUAUGGUGCAGUUUGCAAAAUAUGGCCCAAAUGCAGAAAAAAUCAGUCAUAGAGGAAGGAUUACAACAUCAAGCCCAAGGCCGAAGGGAAGGUCUAGAAGUAGGAGCCCUCCACGCUCUAGGUACCGUGAUGACCGAGAGAGGGAAUCUGGGCGGCGCACACGUACACGUGAUAGGUAUGAGCGGGAUCAAUAUCGAGACAAGGACAAAGAUUACCAUCGUCGCAGUCGCAGCCGAAGUUCCAGUCCCAUUCGUGGUAGAAGUGGGAGUACGAGCAGGCUAAAUGAUGAACCAAAGAGAAGAUCAAGAAGCAGGUCAAGAAGCCAUUCUCUGAGAAGUGUGUCUCCUGCUCGUCGUAGUCCAACCCCACAGAGGAGCCUCUCACAUCCUCGAAGCGCAGACCCAAAAAGCCCUCCAGCAAGGUCUCCUUCUGGUGCAAGCGUGUCGCCUAAUGCACAGGGAAUAUCUCCAUCUCCAAGUUCAUCACCUCGGAAUUUUGAUGCUGAUGAUUAGGAAUGCACGCUUGUGGGACUCUGUCUCCUUAUUCAUUCUACUAUAUGCAAAUGGAGUCUCAAGUGAAUGUCAGCUGUUUAUGCAUACCGGCCUCUUGAUGUGCUGGAUGGUUAAUUUUGAUUUAGUGGAAUUUUUUCUCAAGCUUAAAAUUUAGAGUAAAUGAAGUUGUUGGUUUGUUACACUGGUAUGGUGACAACUUGGUCGUGGCCAAAACCUUUGGCAGCCAAAGAAAAUCCAUGUGUAGGAUGAGCAACUUAUGAGUUUGGAUUGUGAGGUCGUGGAAACAAUGGUUGUAGCUGUCGUGACCAAGAUGGUGGCAGGGGCUGUGUUUACUGAAUUGUAGCUGAUGCUGUUGUUGCUCCUGAAAGUUAAAAAGUUGAGCUUCAUUUAGCAGUUGAUUUGAUGCUGUUUAAAAAAUUGGUGUCUAACUCUGCUGGGGUCGGGGUUCAAGAGGGAAGGGGUUUUGUGUGAACUACAGCUUUUUCGAUGAUGCUGUUGAUGCUUGGGUAGUAUUCAACUCAAUUGAUUAUUUGGUAUUGCAUUUAACCAUUCUGUGCUUUUCUGUUUGAGUAAUUGUUUUUUUGAUAAAUCUCCCAGUGCAUAGGAAGUACAGCUUAGGGACUAGUAGCUUGUGCUGGUUGGAUGGUUAGUAUUAACUAGAGGCUUUUAGAGAUUGUUUGUUACACCAGCAUUGUUUAACAUUAGUGUUCACAAAAAGAACUCUCAUAUGUAGUAUGGAAAUCUUAGGACUCUAGAGGAAGUCUCCACUUUGAUCUUAAUUAGUAAUGAUUAUCUUUAUUAGUUUUAAUGUUCUAAUUCUAACUUACCCUGGACCUUGUCCUGAGAUGUGAUAGUUUGAGGUGUGGAAACAAUGGUUGUAGCCGUGUGCCCGCCCCUGAAGCUGUUGCUGUUGUAGCUGUUAGAAGUUAGAAGUUGAACUUGAGUUUGGGGUUGACUUGAUGGCAUCAGGACAUUUAAAAGUGCUUGUCCAACAUUGGGGUGAUCCAGUGUCAACGGUGUUUUAUGUUGGCUUUGAUGGUGCUGCUAAUAUUUGGGGUAGUAUUAUAUUUGGCAUUGCAUUGGUUAAUUUCCACUUGGUUUUUGAGGUGAUUUAUUGUGUGUACUUUUGAUCUGUGUACUGUGUUUUAUUUGGCAUUGCAUUUAGUAUGUCUGUUCGAGGACACCUUUACAACAAUGCAUCAUUUAGAGCAAAACAGAAAGGCAUUUUUUAGUUUAUUACUUAUUACGUCGAUUUUCUCUUUUCAAAAUUCAUACUGGAAAUGCACUAUAAAUAGUUGUAUUAGUGUUUGCUGUUAUGAUAAUCAGUUUUUGUGGCAUCUUCUGAACCAUUGAAGUGCUGUUUUUAAGAAUAGUCAGAGAAAAGUGUGCAAAACCUCUGUCAAAUGUUAUAUUGGAUCAUCUUAUGCUUUGCUCUUGAAAUGAAUCUCCUUGUGAAAAAAUGUGCAAAACCUCUGUCGGCUGUUAUAUUGGAUCAUCUUAUGCUUUGCUCUUGAAUUGCAUGUAGUGUUUGUAUCUGCUUUGGAAGACAAUUAGUUACAGUUGCAUCAUUUAAAGCAAAACAAGGUGUAUAUGUCUGAUUAGCUUUUUGUCAUUAAAGUUUGUGGAGUUAUGGGGUGGAAAAAAGGCAAAUGGUAUAAGUACUAGCAUUCUAUUCAUUUAUAUGGGGAGCUAUCUUAUAGUGGUCAGCUAGAUUAUUAAAGAAAAUUCUAGCCAGGUAAAGUUUCUAUUCUUUGUAUUUUUGCAAAGAGCUUUGAUGCAUGGGAUCAAGGCACAAACUAGUAUUGAAUGCUAGUCUCCACAUUUGGUGGUGGUUUAUUUUUUAUUUUUUAUUUUAUUGCUUUACAAUGCAAGAGCUAGCAGAUUAUACCGUACAUUGUAAAAGACGAUGAAGCAAAUGACUAUGAUCAGGUUGCCAGGGUUAUUAUGGAGAAUUUACACUACAGAUAGUUGUAAGGCAUGAACGGCACCUUGUUCGUUGUGGAGUGCUAAGCAAAUCUUUCAGCACAUGGCUCAUAAUUUUGUUGUCUUAGCAGGUUUUUGCUUUCCUUCAAAUCUUUUAGCAGGGCAUAAAUUAUUAGACUAAGUAAUGGAGAUAGUACAUUUAUCAUUCUUAGUACCGAAUUCCAUGUCCAGGUGUCAUCUUUUACUUGUAAGCGGCCAGGAGGACUGGCAAUACUCUUUGCAUUUCGGGUCAAAAUUUCUUCCAAACAUAUUAAAUGAUCCAUACCACUCUUGCUUUCAGUCUAAAUCUAUAAAAGAUUUUUUUUCCUGGGGCCGAGCUA